Molecule: ribosomal RNA, 448 nt
Filed under: uncultured bacterium
Lineage: Bacteria
Description: bacterial SSU rRNA
Rfam family: Bacterial small subunit ribosomal RNA
Source: RNAcentral
GAUUAACGCGAAGAACCUUACCUGGGCUCGAAGCGCAGUGGACCGGGGUGGAAACAUCCCUUUUCGCAAGAACUGCUGCGGAGGUGCUGCAUGGCUGUCGUCAGCUCGUGUCGUGAGAUGUUGGGUUAAGUCCCGCAACGAGCGCAACCCUUAUCGUUAGUUGCCAGCGGGUUAAGCCGGGCACUCUAGCGAAACCGCCUCGGAUAACGGGGAGGAAGGUGGGGAUGACGUCAAGUCCUCAUGGCCUUUAUGUCCAGGGCUACACACGUGCUACAAUGGUCGGUACAAACCGUCGCAAACCCGCGAGGGGGAGCUAAUCGGAAAAAGCCGUGCUCAGUUCGGAUUGGAGUCUGCAACCCGACUCCAUGAAGCUGGAAUCGCUAGUAAUCGCGGAUCAGAACGCCGCGGUGAAUACGUUCCCGGGCCUUGUACACACCGAAUCACUAGU